This 620-nucleotide long non-coding RNA is filed under the name Oryctolagus cuniculus (rabbit). Its description in RNAcentral is "lncRNA (ENSOCUG00000032638.1)". Lineage: Eukaryota; Metazoa; Chordata; Mammalia; Lagomorpha; Leporidae. The record is from RNAcentral.
AUGAAUAAACCCGCAGUAUGGAUGAGCCAAUGCUGGAAUGUUGGUAAACAGACUAACAGACGGUGGAGUGAGCUGACGUUUCUCCUCCUGUGGCGACUCCUGAGAUGCCUAUUAGUCGUUCUGGAGCCCAGAGGUACCUGCGUUAGCGCAGGAGAGACGGGAUGUCUUUGGGCUUUGCUUUCCUGUAGAUUUGUUGCAUGUUUACCAAGCUCUGUCUCUCAGCAAGGCAUAGAGGAGCAAGCUGAGACCUACACACUGCGGACUCCUGCAACAAAAUUGCUCUGUCUCAAUCAGUUAAACUCCCUUUGCCAGCUCUCCCCCAUCUCUCCUGCCAUGUGGAAGACACCCCAAGCACUCCACAGGGCUUUAGAGUCAAGAUUCAGCACUGUCACCACAGAGAUUGCUCCCGAGGGAAUGUUUUUUGAGGAGAAAUUACAUCCAGCGGUCGGCACCCUACUCUCAAUCUUAAUGGAGAAUGGGACUGGCAAGUGGAGAGGGAGCCGGAGGAGGGGUGGGAGUGCAGGUGGGAGGGGGGGUAUGGUGGGAAGAAUCACUGUAUUUCUAAAGUUGUACUUAUGAAAUUUGUAUUCCUUAAAAAAUAAAUUAAAACAAAAUUUGCA